This is a long non-coding RNA of Gasterosteus aculeatus aculeatus (three-spined stickleback), 1846 nucleotides long. Lineage: Eukaryota; Metazoa; Chordata; Actinopteri; Perciformes; Gasterosteidae. The record is from Ensembl.
GUGUGUGUUUUGAAGAUAAAGACCCACUGUGGCUCUGAACAGUAGCUCACCUGUUAGAGACCAUUUUUGAGACACUGAAGAAGAGGAGGAGUAAGAGGGAGAGGAGGAGGAAGAAAAAAGGAGGAAGAGGAGGAAAGUGAGACUGUAAAAGAGUGAUGAACAACCUUUAGAUCAACUGAACGCCGAAUUUGUAUUAUUAUAUAAAUGAAUAAUAUUAUUUUGUUUUCUAACCAGGAUCCUGUUUUAUUGUGAAAAUCCCCCUGCUUCCUGUCCCUGUGUGUGUGUCUCCCCUCUGUGUAGUCAGACUAAUUGCCUGGUAUUUAACAUGAAUUGCUGUGUUUGGGUGCUUACGUGUCAAUUAAGUGUCUAUUCAUGUUCCAUCGGCCAUUUAGCCAAUUAGAGGUCGUUAGUGAGCGAUGUCACCGAGCACCAAUCACGUGUUCCGGGAGCCCGAUCGCUAACGAGCUGAUCACUCUUAUUAUGAGGUGUCAUCAUCUCAUCUAAAUAAUUCACUUUUUGAUUUGAUUCUCAUUAAACCCACACAAGUGGGGAAGUAACCAUGAAGAGAGGAGCCCCGGAGAUCAACUCCCUUCUGAUGAUGUCACCAGAGAAGCCCCUUGGGGGGGGAGGGGGGGCUGCGGGGGAUGUUUGUUGUGAUUUUAAUGAAACUGGGUUGAUGAAGAAUCCAUUUCAUUCUGCAGCAGAUUGGGCUCAACGUGGGUCACGUGACGUUGUCAUGUGACCCUCAUGAGACAGUUUGAACCUUUUGAAGUUUCCACUUUGAUUACUACGUCUGUUGUGUCUCUGUGUUACUUUGUGUAGUUUGUUUGUGUGUAGUGUGUGUACCUCUAUGCUGCUGACCCGCCCCUCCUGGAAGGAACAGUCCUGCAGGUUGUUGGUGCAGACGUGACGAUAUUUACACCAAUGACACGGGAACACGCUGCUGACACAGGAAGUACACCUGGGGAGGGUAAAAACGCUUGUUGUCAUGGAGAUGAAAUAUUAUUCCGUCACAAGUCUGAAUAAAAACCUUCAAUCUCAUUCUCUUAUGUCUUAAUAUCGUCUCACUUCCUGUCUGCGUCUCAUUGGUUCCCAUUGAAGACACUAAUCUUCAGUGGUGUGUGUGUGUGUGUGUGUGUGUGUGUUUCUGAGACUGAUGCUCUGAGCUGCUGUUACCAUGGCAACCAGCGAGUCUGCCGCACAGAUUAUGUUACUCCUGCAAAUCUGCUCCCCCAAGGGGGAAGGAGAGGAUACAAGCAGGGAGGAAGCAAGAUGAGAGGAGGAAACAAAGACAAGAAACAAGAGGAGGAUGAAGGGAGAGAGGAAAGGAGGGUGGAUAGGGUAGUAAGGAGUGUAGGAGUGAGGAGAGAGGGGUGCAGGAGUGAGAAGUAAGGAGUGAGGAGGGAGGAGUGAAGAGAGAGGAGUGGAGGAGUGUGGAGUGUAGGAGGGAGGAGUAAGGAGAGAGGAGUGUAGGAGUGAGGAGUGUAGGAGUAAGGAGAGAGGAGUGUAAGAGUGAGGAGUGUAGGAGUAAGGAGAGAGGAGUGUAGGAGGGAGGAGUAAGGAGAGAGGAGUGUAGGAGUAAGGAGUGUAGGAGUAAGGAGAGAGGAGUGUAGGAGAGAGGAGUGGAGUAAGGAGUGUAGGAUUGAGGAGUGUAGGGUAAGGAGUGUAGGAGUAAGGAGAGAGGAGUUGAGGAGAGAGGAGUGCAGGAGUAAGGAGAGAGGAGUGUAGGAGUGAGGAGAGAGGAGUGUAGGAGUAAGGAGAGAGGAGUGCAGGAGUAAGGAGAGAGGAGUGUAGGAGUGAGGAGAGAGGAGUGUAGGAGUAGCCGUGUCAGACUUACGAGUUGAGC